UUAAAUUGAAGAGUUUGAUCAUGGCUCAGAUUGAACGCUGGCGGCAGGCCUAACACAUGCAAGUCGAACGGUAGCACAGAGAGCUUGCUCUUGGGUGACGAGUGGCGGACGGGUGAGUAAUGUCUGGGAAACUGCCCGAUGGAGGGGGAUAACUACUGGAAACGGUAGCUAAUACCGCAUAACGUCUUCGGACCAAAGUGGGGGACCUUCGGGCCUCACACCAUCGGAUGUGCCCAGAUGGGAUUAGCUAGUAGGUGGGGUAAUGGCUCACCUAGGCGACGAUCCCUAGCUGGUCUGAGAGGAUGACCAGCCACACUGGAACUGAGACACGGUCCAGACUCCUACGGGAGGCAGCAGUGGGGAAUAUUGCACAAUGGGCGCAAGCCUGAUGCAGCCAUGCCGCGUGUAUGAAGAAGGCCUUCGGGUUGUAAAGUACUUUCAGCGGGGAGGAAGGCGUUAAGGUUAAUAACCUUGGCGAUUGACGUUACCCGCAGAAGAAGCACCGGCUAACUCCGUGCCAGCAGCCGCGGUAAUACGGAGGGUGCAAGCGUUAAUCGGAAUUACUGGGCGUAAAGCGCACGCAGGCGGUCUGUCAAGUCGGAUGUGAAAUCCCCGGGCUUAACCUGGGAACUGCAUUCGAAACUGGCAGGCUAGAGUCUUGUAGAGGGGGGUAGAAUUCCAGGUGUAGCGGUGAAAUGCGUAGAGAUCUGGAGGAAUACCGGUGGCGAAGGCGGCCCCCUGGACAAAGACUGACGCUCAGGUGCGAAAGCGUGGGGAGCAAACAGGAUUAGAUACCCUGGUAGUCCACGCCGUAAACGAUGUCGACUUGGAGGUUGUGCCCUUGAGGCGUGGCUUCCGGAGCUAACGCGUUAAGUCGACCGCCUGGGGAGUACGGCCGCAAGGUUAAAACUCAAAUGAAUUGACGGGGGCCCGCACAAGCGGUGGAGCAUGUGGUUUAAUUCGAUGCAACGCGAAGAACCUUACCUACUCUUGACAUCCAGCGAAUUCGGUAGAGAUACCUUAGUGCCUUCGGGAACGCUGAGACAGGUGCUGCAUGGCUGUCGUCAGCUCGUGUUGUGAAAUGUUGGGUUAAGUCCCGCAACGAGCGCAACCCUUAUCCUUUGUUGCCAACGGGUUAUGCCGGGAACUCAAAGGAGACUGCCAGUGAUAAACUGGAGGAAGGUGGGGAUGACGUCAAGUCAUCAUGGCCCUUACGAGUAGGGCUACACACGUGCUACAAUGGCGCAUACAAAGAGAAGCGACCUCGCGAGAGCAAGCGGACCUCAUAAAAUGCGUCGUAGUCCGGAUUGGAGUCUGCAACUCGACUCCAUGAAGUCGGAAUCGCUAGUAAUCGUAGAUCAGAAUGCUACGGUGAAUACGUUCCCGGGCCUUGUACACACCGCCCGUCACACCAUGGGAGUGGGUUGCAAAAGAAGUAGGUAGCUUAACCUUCGGGAGGGCGCUUACCACUUUGUGAUUCAUGACUGGGGUGAAGUCGUAACAAGGUAACCGUAGGGGAACCUGCGGUUGGAUCACCUCCUUACCUGAA
Molecule: ribosomal RNA, 1549 nt
Filed under: Pantoea rwandensis
Lineage: Bacteria; Pseudomonadati; Pseudomonadota; Gammaproteobacteria; Enterobacterales; Erwiniaceae
Description: bacterial SSU rRNA
Rfam family: Bacterial small subunit ribosomal RNA
Source: RNAcentral